GAUGAACGCUGGCGGCGUGCCUAAUACAUGCAAGUCGAGCGAACAGACGAGGAGCUUGCUCCUCUGACGUUAGCGGCGGACGGGUGAGUAACACGUGGAUAACCUACCUAUAAGACUGGGAUAACUUCGGGAAACCGGAGCUAAUACCGGAUAAUAUAUUGAACCGCAUGGUUCAAUAGUGAAAGACGGUUUUGCUGUCACUUAUAGAUGGAUCCGCGCCGCAUUAGCUAGUUGGUAAGGUAACGGCUUACCAAGGCAACGAUGCGUAGCCGAACUGAGAGGGUGAUCGGCCACACGGGAACUGAGACACGGUCCAGACUCCUACGGGAGGCAGCAGUAGGGAAUCUUCCGCAAUGGGCGAAAGCUUGACGGAGCAAAGCCGCGUGAGUGAUGAAGGUCUUCGGAUCGUAAAACUCUGUUAUUAGGGAAGAACAAAUGUGUAAGUAACUAUGCACGUCUUGACGGUACCUAAUCAGAAAGCCACGGCUAACUACGUG
This 497-nucleotide ribosomal RNA is filed under the name uncultured bacterium. Its description in RNAcentral is "partial 16S ribosomal RNA". It matches the Rfam family "Bacterial small subunit ribosomal RNA", at positions 28 to 507 of the family's 1533-position model. The record is from RNAcentral.